GGCCUUUUAGCUCAGUUGGUUAGAGCAUCGUGCUAAUAACGCGAGGGUCAUUGGUUCAAAUCCAAUAAGGGCUA
This 74-nucleotide transfer RNA is filed under the name Lotharella vacuolata. RNAcentral's name for it is "tRNA-Ile". It matches the Rfam family "tRNA". Rfam says of the family: Transfer RNA (tRNA) molecules are approximately 80 nucleotides in length. The record is from RNAcentral. Lineage: Eukaryota; Cercozoa; Chlorarachniophyceae.